Molecule: ribosomal RNA, 462 nt
Filed under: uncultured bacterium
Lineage: Bacteria
Description: partial 16S ribosomal RNA
Rfam family: Bacterial small subunit ribosomal RNA
Source: RNAcentral
GAUGAAUGCUGGCGGCGCGCCUAACACAUGCAAGUCGAGCGGUAACAUGGACUUCGGUCUGAUGACGAGCGGCGGACGACUGAGUAACGCGUGGGAACAUGCCCCAAAGUGAGGAAUAACUGCCCGAAAGGGUAGCUAAUGCCGCAUAUGAUCUUCGGAUUAAAGGAUUUAUCCGCUUUGGGAGUGGCCCGCGUUCGAUUAGGUAGUUGGUGAGGUAAAGGCUCACCAAGCCUACGAUCGAUAACUGGUCUAAGAGGAUGAUCAGUCAGACUGGAACUGAGACACGGUCCAGACUCCUACGGGAGGCAGCAGUGAGGAAUCUUCCACAAUGGGCGAAAGCCUGAUGGAGCGACGCCGCGUGCAGGAUGAAGGCCUUCGGGUUGUAAACUGCUUUUAUAAGUGAAGAAUAUGACGGUAACUUAUGAAUAAGCACCGGCUAACUACGUGCCAGCCGCCGCGGUA